Molecule: ribosomal RNA, 276 nt
Filed under: Triticum aestivum (bread wheat)
Lineage: Eukaryota; Viridiplantae; Streptophyta; Magnoliopsida; Poales; Poaceae
Description: partial small subunit ribosomal RNA
Source: RNAcentral
AUGGCCGGGAGGAGCUCAAGCUUGUCCCCGGCUUGUACGCCUCCGUCGUCUGCGUUGCUGCCAGGGGGAGAGAGUCGCGGCACUCGACGCCGUCUCCUUUGUCCACACACGCAUCCACGAGCCUCGGAUCGACCUCCCCGACGACCUCUGCUUCCCCUGCUUCCUCUGCUUCACGGACGCCAAGUCGGAGGCCUCUUCUCGUCGCCGACCUCUCCUUCUUCUUCUUCCUCGGGUCUACCUCGCCGCCGGCUAAAUUCGUCGCGUCCCCGAGCUUGA